This 398-nucleotide ribosomal RNA is filed under the name uncultured haloarchaeon. RNAcentral's name for it is "bacterial SSU rRNA". It matches the Rfam family "Archaeal small subunit ribosomal RNA", at positions 357 to 755 of the family's 1478-position model. Lineage: Archaea; Methanobacteriati; Methanobacteriota; Halobacteria; Halobacteriales; Halobacteriaceae. The record is from RNAcentral.
GCACGCCAGUGCGAUAAGGGGACUCCAAGUGCGAGGGCAUAUCGUCCUCGCUAUCCUGUACUGUAGGGUAGUACAGUAUCAAGAGCUGGGCAAGACCGGUGCCAGCCGCCGCGGUAAUACCGGCAGCUCAAGUGAUGGCCACUCUUAUUGGGCCUAAAGCGUCCGUAGCUGGCCGCGCAAGUCCGUCGGGAAAUCCAUCAGCCCAACUGAUGGGCGUCCGGCGGAAACUGCACGGCUUGGGACCGGAAGGCUCGAGAGGUACGUCCGGGGUAGGAGUGAAAUCCCGUAAUCCCGAACGGACCACCGAUGGCGAAAGCAUCUCGAGAAAACGGAUCCGACAGUGAGGGACGAAAGCUAGGGUCUCGAACCGGAUUAGAUACCCCCGUAGUCCGGUCAUA